AUGAGACAAUGCCAAUGUUCCUACCAAAUGCAGAAUCAAACAUGCACUCUUCCAAACCAUUAUCUUUUCUGUAAGGUCUGUUGUUUUGCAAGGCUGUGUUCUUCUCAGAACCAUGUAUCUUUAAUCGUUUCUCUCUUUGUGUUCCAUGGCAGGGUCAAUGAGGAUGGAGGGCUGCUCACUCCACCUCUAACACGUCUGAACAGACACUGCUGCACAGAGGAUAAGAAAGGGUAUCGCCAUCCAUCUCACAGAGGCCACAAAUCUGCUCCUCCACUCCUCACGACUGAAAAGGGUGAGCCAGCAGCCGAAAACCAGCAAACUUGAGGAUGGGGAGAAACCAGAGGGAUUGCGAAUGAGUUGGCAGGUGAGAGCAAAAUGAGAGAAAGAGACAACCAGGGCUACAGGCUGAUGCUUGAUCAUCCUGAUCCUCAGGGCCUGAUUCUGCUCUAUCUGAUGAGGAUGGGAGUUUGAGUUACAGUGAUAUUCCAUCAUUGUCAUGACAUGUUCACUGGUAAGGCUUAGAAACUAGGACUGGGUUUUGGGAUAGUCUUUGCCAAGUACACUCGUAAAAAAACGUGCUAUCUGAACCAAAAAAUUAUCUGGGUUAUUUGGCUGUCCCCAUACGAGACCCAUUUGAAGAAUCCCUUUUGGCUUCAUGUAGAACUCUUUUGGUUCCAGGUAGUACUCUUUUGGGUUCCAUAUAUAACCCUUUCCACACAGGGUUACAUGGAACCUAAAAGUGUUCUACCUGGAGGGUUCUCUUAUGGGGACAGCUGCAUAACUCUUUGAACCGUUUUUCUAGGAGUGUAGUGGCAUCCUAUCACAAUGAAAUGGAUAUCUUAUUUCCAAAAAUCUUCCUAGCAAAGCAUACAGUAACACCAAAGGUCCUCUAAUUAGUUACUCAUUGUGGAAGUAUGAUUCUGUAACAACUCUUGCAACAGAAAAAAUGAGUAUCAUGUUCAAGUAUUCUACUUUUGUUUAAAGUUAAUGUUGUCUAUAGUUAGCCCCUUGAUGGGUAACACUCCUUAGCUCUAUGAUAGCAAUACAUUUCUCCUCUGUGUUGUCCCCUCUGUAAUGGUGCUGCUGUGUUUGACAGAUGAAUAAUAGCUAGCAAGAGUUCUAGACUCACCCCAGCUCUGCAGUUCCCUGGGACACAGCUCAGGUCAGCUGAUUAAAAAGAUAACGAAUUGGUUUAAUAGAUGUUUGUUUUCCUCUGCAAUAUGUGUCCUUUUCCUCCAGACCCCGUGAGGGAGUUAUUUUUAUAAAUGACAAAUUGCGACAUUGAAUCGAGAAUGCUCCCAUCCCAAAAAACUGGGCAAAAACUGGUUUAAUCAACGUUGUUUACAUGUCAUAUAAACAACAAAAUGAUAUGGGAUGAUAUUGAAUCAGCAUGGAACACUGAACACUGAAAAAGUAAUCAAUGUAAGAUAUUUUUUUUAACCCAACU
This 1447-nucleotide long non-coding RNA is filed under the name Oncorhynchus mykiss (rainbow trout). Its description in RNAcentral is "lncRNA (ENSOMYG00000036121.2)". The record is from RNAcentral. Lineage: Eukaryota; Metazoa; Chordata; Actinopteri; Salmoniformes; Salmonidae.